CAUAUAAAGAUCGAAUCUUUCAACAAGUACAAGGGAGAUUCGGGUGUUUUAAGACUUGUUAUUGAUGUUACUAUCCACAAACACAUCAUUUGCUUUAUAAUUCUUUUUUUAGUUGUUGAAUGAUAUAGGGGUCCUAUUAUGUUUGUGAGUCUAAUUCCCUCAAAUUAGGUGUGUGUGUGUGUGUGUUUUAAUUUAACAAUUCGAGUGCAUUGCAUUGAAUUUACAAAUUGAGGUUUGUGUGGAUCCUAAUAGAGGUUAAUAAAAGAUCCUCUAGUUCUCGAGCUAACAACAAAGCCUAUUUAAUAUAAAGAUUCAAUGUUUAUGCCAUAUUUCA
This is a long non-coding RNA of Beta vulgaris subsp. vulgaris (sugar beet), 334 nucleotides long. RefSeq lists it as uncharacterized. The transcript has 3 exons. Lineage: Eukaryota; Viridiplantae; Streptophyta; Magnoliopsida; Caryophyllales; Amaranthaceae. The record is from RefSeq and is a predicted model, not a curated record.